This 283-nucleotide long non-coding RNA is filed under the name Mustela putorius furo (domestic ferret). Its description in RNAcentral is "lncRNA (ENSMPUG00000026361.1)". Lineage: Eukaryota; Metazoa; Chordata; Mammalia; Carnivora; Mustelidae. The record is from RNAcentral.
UGGGUUCAGAUGGAGGAGUAUAUGUGGUUCUGAGAGAACCCAGAAGUUCAGAUGGAGACAGAGUGUGGUUGAGUCCCACAAGAAGGAUGAAGACAGAAAACAUGCAGAGCAGAAGGCCCAUGUGAUGUGAUUUACUUGGAGGGGCUCCUCUUGAUACGCAACACCUGGCCACCACUCUUCCCUGACCGAGAAGGCUCUGAGAAGGCAUCUGUAGAAGCACACAUUCGCCGUUCCUGAUUCCCAGUGUAAACACUUGGAAACAAUGAAAAAAACCACAGCGCAG